UUAGAGUUUGAUCCUGGCUCAGGAUAAACGCUGGCGGCGUGCCUAACACAUGCAAGUUGAACGGAAUGUUGGAACUUGUUCCAAUGUUUAGUAGCGGACGGGUGAGUAACACGUGGAUAAUCUACCUUUCGUAUGGGAAUAACAGCCAGAAAUGGUUGCUAAAGCCCGAUAAGCCCACGGCUUGGCAUCAAGCAGUGGGAAAAUAUUUAUAGACGAAAGAUGAGUCCGCGUCUGAUUAGCCAGUUGGCGGGGUAAAGGCCCACCAAAGCGAUGAUCAGUAGCCGGCCUUAGCGGGUGUACGGCCACAUUGGGACUGAGACACGGCCCAAACUCCUACGGGAGGCAGCAGUGGGGAAUAUUGCGCAAUGGGCGAAAGCCUGACGCAGCAACGCCGCGUGAAGGACGACGGUCUUCGGAUUGUAAACUUCUAUCGACGGGGAAUAAUAAAUGAAGGUACCCGAGUAAGAAGCACCGGCUAAAUACGUGCCAGCAGCCGCGGUAAUACGUAUGGUGCAAGCGUUAUCCGGAAUUACUGGGCGU
Molecule: ribosomal RNA, 540 nt
Filed under: uncultured Clostridia bacterium
Lineage: Bacteria; Bacillati; Bacillota; Clostridia
Description: bacterial SSU rRNA
Rfam family: Bacterial small subunit ribosomal RNA
Source: RNAcentral